UACGUAGGGUCCGAGCGUUGUUCGGAAUUACUGGGCGUAAAGGGCUCGUAGGCGGCCAACUAAGUCGGAUGUGAAAUCCCCAGGCUUAACCUGGGAACUGCAUCCGAUACUGGAUGGCUUGAAUCCGGGAGAGGGAUGCAGAAUUCCAGGUGUAGCGGUGAAAUGCGUAGAUAUCUGGAGGAAUACCGGUGGCGAAGGCGGCAUCCUGGACCGGCAUUGACGCUGAGUGAGCGAAAGCUAGGGGAGCAAACGGG
Molecule: ribosomal RNA, 254 nt
Filed under: uncultured bacterium
Lineage: Bacteria
Description: partial 16S ribosomal RNA
Rfam family: Bacterial small subunit ribosomal RNA
Source: RNAcentral